GACGAACGCUGGCGGCGUGCUUAACACAUGCAAGUCGAACGGAAAGGCCCUGCUUGCAGGGUACUCGAGUGGCGAACGGGUGAGUAACACGUGGGUGAUCUGCCCUGCACUUCGGGAUAAGCUUGGGAAACUGGGUCUAAUACCGGAUAGGAGCCAUCUUUAGUGUGGUGGUUGGAAAGUUUUUUCGGUGUAGGAUGAGCUCGCGGCUUAUCAGCUUGUUGGUGGGGUAAUGGCCUACCAAGGCGGCGACGGGUAGCCGGCCUGAGAGGGUGUACGGCCACAUUGGGACUGAGAUACGGCCCAGACUCCUACGGGAGGCAGCAGGGGGGAAUAUUGCACAAUGGGCGCAAGCCUGAUGCAGCGACGCCGCGUGGGGGAUGAAGGCCUUCGGGUUGUAAACUCCUUUCGCUAGGGACGAAGCUUUUUUGUGACGGUACCUAGAGAAGAAGCACCGGCUAACUACGUG
Molecule: ribosomal RNA, 466 nt
Filed under: uncultured bacterium
Lineage: Bacteria
Description: partial 16S ribosomal RNA
Rfam family: Bacterial small subunit ribosomal RNA
Source: RNAcentral